UGUAAUAUUUUAAUUUGUAAUUUUGCUCCAUUUGACAUGAUGGCAUAGCACAGUUAUGUGACAGCUAUGAUGAGAAUCUGAUAUCUGGUGAAUGUGAAGACCACUAGAGUAUAGUGAACUCAUUGUCAUGUUCAAGAAAGCAGCUUGAUUUGCUGGAA
Melanotaenia boesemani (Boeseman's rainbowfish) is the source of this 158-nucleotide long non-coding RNA. RefSeq lists it as uncharacterized. The record is from RefSeq and is a predicted model, not a curated record. The transcript has 3 exons. NCBI's taxonomy places the organism in Eukaryota, Metazoa, Chordata, Actinopteri, Atheriniformes, Melanotaeniidae.